GAUACUAUUAAAUCAUGUAUUUGCUAGUGGACACUCUUCAAAUUUGUAUAUUUGCUACAAAACGUCAUAAUUAUUAAAAUAAUAACCUUUUGGUUUAGAGGAAAGACAAAACAUGUAAAAUGACCAAAUACCCCUACGGGACCACAUUGCCCAGGUAUGCAUCGAUAAAGAAAAGAGACAUUAGUAUCCGUACAUGUUCAAAGCCAUUACAAGGCUCCAUAUACAUACAUAUCGAGGAUAGCCAUGAUAAGGUUCGAAAGCCGUACAUGUCAAGCCAUACAGGUUCAUAAAAGCCAGCAGCAAUUCUUUGGCGAAUCCACGCUGUGCAAACGUUUCACCGGACUGUUCAUGACGACCGUCGCUCAGUUCAUGGCGCAGUGAUGCAGACGGGGGCGAACACCAUAUACGGUUGGACAGCAGAGAGGACGGCACUGGGCAGCUCCUGUAGGGCACGAGGUGGUCGGCGUUGGGCACUUACUGCAAGCGCGGGGCGAGUCGCGGCGGCGCCGGCGUCUGGGAGCUGGGGCGCCGAUUCGAGGGGCCAACGGCGUCCGAUUCCUGAGCUGGGGUGGAGCGCGGCACUGAUUUGUGCGAGGGUUUGGCGGAGCUACACCAGCAGGCUCGAUUUUGGUGGAAUCUGAGGCCGGCGGCACCGUCGCUUGAGCUGCAGGCGGUGGCCUGCGACGCUGCAGCCUGUCGCAGGUGGGGAACGAGGGUGGCUGUCGGUGGGCUGGGAAUGGGUGGAAGGGAAGGGAGGGAUCGCAU
This 765-nucleotide long non-coding RNA is filed under the name Panicum hallii. Its description in RNAcentral is "long non-coding RNA (PHAL_LNC000918)". The record is from RNAcentral. Lineage: Eukaryota; Viridiplantae; Streptophyta; Magnoliopsida; Poales; Poaceae.